GACGAACGCUGGCGGCGUGCCUAAUACAUGCAAGUAGAACGCUGAAGGAGGAGCUUGCUUCUCUGGAUGAGUUGCGAACGGGUGAGUAACGCGUAGGUAACCUGCCUGGUAGCGGGGGAUAACUAUUGGAAACGAUAGCUAAUACCGCAUAAUAGUAGAUGUUGCAUGACAUUUGCUUAAAAGGUGCAAUUGCCUCACUACCAGAUGGACCUGCGUUGUAUUAGCUAGUUGGUGGGGUAACGGCUCACCAAGGCGACGAUACAUAGCCGACCUGAGAGGGUGAUCGGCCACACUGGGACUGAGACACGGCCCAGACUCCUACGGGAGGCAGCAGUAGGGAAUCUUCGGCAAUGGACGGAAGUCUGACCGAGCAACGCCGCGUGAGUGAAGAAGGUUUUCGGAUCGUAAAGCUCUGUUGUAAGAGAAGAACGAGUGUGAGAGUGGAAAGUUCACACUGUGACGGUAUCUUACCAGAAAGGGACGGCUAACUACGUG
RNAcentral lists this ribosomal RNA (495 nucleotides) under uncultured bacterium. RNAcentral's name for it is "partial 16S ribosomal RNA". It matches the Rfam family "Bacterial small subunit ribosomal RNA", at positions 28 to 507 of the family's 1533-position model. The record is from RNAcentral.